CCUACGGGAGGCAGCAGUGAGGAAUAUUGGUCAAUGGACGCAAGUCUGAACCAGCCAUGCCGCGUGCAGGAAGACGGCUCUAUGAGUUGUAAACUGCUUUUGUACGAGGGUAAACGCAGAUACGCGUAUCUGUCUGAAAGUAUCGUACGAAUAAGGAUCGGCUAACUCCGUGCCAGCAGCCGCGGUAAUACGGAGGAUUCAAGCGUUAUCCGGAUUUAUUGGGUUUAAAGGGUGCGUAGGCGGUCGGAUAAGUUAGAGGUGAAAUCCCGGGGCUCAACUUCGGAAUUGCCUCUGAUACUGUUCGUCUAGAGAGUAGUAGCGGUAGGCGGAAUGUAUGGUGUAGCGGUGAAAUGCUUAGAGAUCAUACAGAACACCGAUUGCGAAGGCAGCUUACCAAGCUACUUCUGACGUUGAGGCACGAAAGCGUGGGGAGCAAACAGGAUUAGAUACCCGAGUAGUC
Molecule: ribosomal RNA, 460 nt
Filed under: uncultured bacterium
Lineage: Bacteria
Description: partial 16S ribosomal RNA
Rfam family: Bacterial small subunit ribosomal RNA
Source: RNAcentral